UUGUUAAAUAAUACAAAACUAUUGGCUUAAAUGGGCUAGCAUCCUGUCCUGUGGCAGAAGGCCAUGUUGAGGCGAGUCACGUUCGAAAUGGCGUGAGACUGGGUAGGCCGAGUCAUAUUUGAAGUGGCGUGAGGCCGGAUGGGCCGAGUCACAAUUGUGAUCCGGGGGCGUUGUAUCUGUACGCUUUAAGUUAAUUGGUUGCGUAUUUCUAACAGCUCGAGCUUUUGGGAUUAAUGGUUAGCGCCAACGAUCCGACAAGUGGCAUCCGAGACAGAGCUCAUGGGUUCAAUUUUCGCAUGCUGCAAAUAUGUCCAGAUGCUGGAGGGGGAAUUAUUGGCUUAAAUGGGCCAGCAUCCUGUCCUGUAGCAGGAGGCCAUGCGAGCUUUUGGGAUUAAUGGUUAGCGCCAACGAUCCGACAGAAACAAUCAUUAUUUUCUAAAAACUUAAACUAAUAGAGAACGAUGUUUAAAAUAUAAAAUCAUGUUUGCGCUUGGAACUUUUAACUAAGCGCAUGACAUGGAUUUGAAUUAAAUGGGAGGAAUUAAUAAUAUUAGUAGUCUGACGUGAGUCGAGCUUUUGGAAUUAAUGGUUAGCACCAACGAUCCGACAGAAACAACUAUUAUUUUUUAAAAACUUAAACUGAUAGAGAACGAUGUUUAAAAUAAAAAAUCAUGUUCGGGGUCGAAUUUACUAGGCGAUAUGAAUUUGAAUUAAAUGAGAGAAAUUAAUAAUAUUAGGAGUCUGACGUGAUUAGAACUCAGGAACCCCUACUCUAAUACUAUAUUAAAUAAUACGAAAUAACCGUUAUUUUCUAAAAACUUAAUUAAGCUGAUAGCGAUGUUUAAAUAUUUUUUUAUUUAAUAUUAAUAAAUAUGAAGUUAAUUGAACCAUUAACCUACCAUUCUAUGGUUCAGUACUAAGAUGACUGGUUUUAUUAGGUUUAAAUACAUAAACAUUUUGUUUGGCUUAUUUUUUUGAUUCAUUUAAAAAGUUUAUAAUAUUUGGCGCACAAGGAGUAUGAUCAAAGUAUUUAAAUAUUUGACUAUCAAGUUAUUUUUCAGAAAAAUAAAGAUAAUUUUAUAAGUGAAAUAUUAAACUCCUGACACCUAAUCAUACAAAAUAGAGAUGUCAACGGGUCGGAUUCGGAGCGGAUUUUUAAAAUCCGAACCCGUACCCGACUCCAAACCCGAAACCUGAACCCGAACCCGAACCCGACGGAUUUUAAAAAUCCAUAUCCAAACCCGAACCCGACCAAAAAUCCGAAACCCGAACCCGAACCCAAACCCAACAAUUUAAACCCGAAACAAUUAUUUCUUUUUUCAAUAUUUCAAAAUAUAUUAUAUUAAAUCUAAAUUUUUAAAAUACAAAUUCAAAUAUAACAUCAAAUUUUUUUUAUAUUUAUUAUAUAUAAUGCAAGAUAAAUUCGGGUUCGGGUCGGGUUCGGGUCGGGUACAAUCAAAAUCCAUAUCCGAAUCCAUAUCCGUCGGGUUUCUAUUUUUAAUAUCUAUAUCCGAAUCCAUAUCCAUAUCUAUCGGAUAUAUCCGUUUCAUUCGGGUUCGGGUUCGGAUAAAAUUUCGGAUAUCCAUACCCAUUGACAUCCCUAAUACAAAAUGAAAAAAAAAAAUUGUAUAAUUAAAUCAUCAUCAAGAUAAUUUAUUCCGAAAUUCAAACAGAAUAUUAAAGUUAAGGAAUUUUUUGACCACAGGUUUAUUUGAAAACGAUAAAUUAAAAAGAUUUUAGAAUCUAACGGAAGAAAGGUAAUUUCAUAUAGGUCCCUACAAAUAUAGUGAAUUGCAAAUAAAUUCCUACAAAAUUUAACUUUUAUAUAUUGUCUCUAUAAAAGUUCUAAUGUUUUCAAAAAUGUCCCUCUGAUUUGUUACCGUUAUAGAACUGUUUAUAUUUUAAGUAAAAUAUAAAUUUUUGCACCACAAAUAUGUUUUUCCAAAAAAGCAUAAUAGUAUAAUAUAAGAGGGGCAAAAAUGCCAACUUAUCUUAUAAACUAAUCAAGCUUAAGUAUUUAACCUAUGAUUAAAUAAAAUUUUCUAACGGAUUCUAACAGAACGGAGAUAUUUGAAAAUAUUAGGGUUUUUGUAGAACAACAUAUAAAAGUUAAAUUUUGUAGAAAUAUAUUUGCAACUCACUAUAUUUGUAGUGACCUGUAUAAGAUUAACCCUAGAAUUAAUUAAAAUGUUAGGACCUAAAAUUA
This 2206-nucleotide long non-coding RNA is filed under the name Ananas comosus (pineapple). RNAcentral's name for it is "long non-coding RNA (ACOM_LNC028321)". The record is from RNAcentral. Lineage: Eukaryota; Viridiplantae; Streptophyta; Magnoliopsida; Poales; Bromeliaceae.